Molecule: ribosomal RNA, 450 nt
Filed under: uncultured bacterium
Lineage: Bacteria
Description: bacterial SSU rRNA
Rfam family: Bacterial small subunit ribosomal RNA
Source: RNAcentral
GUAGGGAAUAUUGGACAAUGGGCGAAAGCCUGAUCCAGCAAUGCCGCGUGUGUGAAGAAGGCCUGCGGGUUGUAAAGCACUUUUGGCGGGGAAGAAAGGUUCGCGAUAAACAGUUGCGGGCUUUGACGUAACCUGCGGAAAAAGCACCGGCUAACUCUGUGCCAGCAGCCGCGGUAAUACAGAGGGUGCGAGCGUUAAUCGGAAUCACUGGGCGUAAAGGGUGCGCAGGCGGCUGGACAAGUUGGGUGUGAAAUCCCCGGGCUUAACUUGGGAAUUGCAUUCAAAACUGUCCGGCUGGAGUAUGGCAGAGGGAAGCGGAAUUCCGGGUGUAGCGGUGAAAUGCGUAGAUAUCCGGAGGAACACCGGCGGCGAAGGCGGCUUCCUGGACCAAUACUGACGCUGAGGCACGAAAGCGUGGGGAGCGAACAGGAUUAGAAACCCUUGUAGUCC